AGUCCUGAGGGGUAGCUAACAGCUAUAGUGUGUAUUUGGUCAUUGGGUUAUAGAAGAGUCAUAUACUUACUAAUAUAAUCCAUAGCAGUAACAGAAUGCAAGUUCUCCAUUGUUAGGGGCUGUACAUUGCUAUGUCUUCUUAGUCAAUGGGACAAAUUGGAUCAGUCUUGGAUCAGAUUCUUCAAAGCCAAUGGAAUGGUUUGGCUGCAGAGAAGGUCAUUUAAUUCCAGUGUGUAUGUGUGUGCUCAUGUUUGCCUGUGUGCCUGUGUGAGAUUGUGUGCUGUGUCUAUGCAUUUGUGUACCCAUGUUUGCCUGGGUGUGCUCGCGUGUGUGUGCCUGUGUGUGCCUGUGUGUGGGUGUUCGUGAGUACAUAUGUAUGUGCAAAUGCACGUGUGUGUGACAGAUAUUGCUCGGCGUGUCAAAGACAGGCCUGUGAGGUGAGAGCCCCCCAUCAUACCCAGUGACAGGGGUCUGGGAUAAUGAGGUCCCUAAGCAGAACACCAAGACCCCUCUGUCACACAAUCACACAUGGUGUCAGGGCAAGCACACACACACACACACACACACACACACACACACACACACACACACACACACACACACACACACACACACACACACACACACACACACACUGGUGGUUAAUUUCUUUACUAUAAAAUGAGGAGAGACAAACUUAUCACACAAGUCAGAGUUAUACUAAAACUAAAUCAUGAAUCACUUAUUAAUAAGGGAGCAGGUCAAUACAAUGCACACAUAUAAAGUUAAUACAUUGAGUGCUCUACGAUAAUGAUGACUUGUCGACGAAUCACCCUCAGAUGAUUCGUUGAGAGCCCAGAGACAAAAGUACAAAGGUAUUUUAUAGCCAAGAUACACCCCUUUCAACCUACAUGACAAACAACAGAUGUAUAGAAUGGGUCACAAGGUUAAGAUAUGUAUGAAAGAUACAUAUAAUUCACAGCAGACAGUAUCUACUGUAAAAACAGUUCUCUAUCCCUGGUACCAUAUAGAACAGAAACAUUAACUCAUGCUCUGGAAUGCAGUCUCUUUGUGUUUUUAACACCCAAAAGACAUUGUAAAUCUCGUGUCAGUGUUAUCUCCCAGAGGCCCAUCCUCGGUAGAACACACUGUUACAUCUGCUCCUGCCACGCCCUCUAGUGCUCAUCCCGUGUCUCCUUGACCUGACGCCACUCCCCAAGUGCUCUCUCUCUCUCUCUCUCUCUCUCUCUCUCUCUCUCUGUGAGUGGAGACAGGUGUGCUGGAGUCAGAGCAGAUCCCCACCAGCUGCAACCUGUUCCAUAAUCAAGACCUCUACAAAUACUCAUUCCUGCCUCUUCCACGCUGCCAGAUCGUAAUCUCUGCUCAUUCUGCCCACUCUGACUCUGGACCCUGUCUCCAGUCCGACUUCUCGUCAGUCCUGCUACUCUGUCCUGGUUUCCCCACUCUACGGCUCCCUUGGAUUCCCCUCCGGACCUGCUUACCCUGUCCUACAACACCUCUCGCUCUCGCACCUGGUUUCCGGCAACACUCCCAAGCUUCCCCUGACCUACACUCCAUCUUCCCCCUGUGUUCCAAUAAAUACCUUGCUUACUUCA
This is a long non-coding RNA of Oncorhynchus nerka (sockeye salmon), 1595 nucleotides long. RefSeq lists it as uncharacterized. The transcript has 2 exons. NCBI's taxonomy places the organism in Eukaryota, Metazoa, Chordata, Actinopteri, Salmoniformes, Salmonidae. The record is from RefSeq and is a predicted model, not a curated record.